GAGGAAUAAGCAUCGGCUAACUCCGUGCCAGCAGCCGCGGUAAUACGGGGGAUGCAAGCGUUAUCCGGAAUCAUUGGGCGUAAAGCGCCUGUAGGUUGUUUAUUAAGUCUGUUGUUAAAGACUAGGGCUUAACCCUAGGAAAGCAAGAGAAACUAAUAGACUUGAGUAUGGCAGGGGUAGAGGGAAUUUCUAGUGUAGCGGUGAAAUGCGUAGAUAUUAGAAAGAACACCGGCGGCGAAAGCGCUCUACUGGACCAUUACUGACACUCAGAGGCGAAAGCUAGGGUAGCAAAAGGGAUUAGAUACCCCUGUAGUCCUAGCCGUAAACGAUGGAUACUAGAUGUUGUAUUUAUUUUACAGUAUCGUAGCUAACGCGUUAAGUAUCCCGCCUGGGGAGUACGCUCGCAAGGGUGAAACUCAAAGGAAUUGACGGGGGCCCGCACAAGCGGUGGAGCAUGUGGUUUAAUUCGAUGCAACGCGAAGAACCUUACCAGGGCUUGACAUACUACGAAUCUUCUUGAGAGAGAAGAGUGCCUUCGGGAAUGUAGAUACAGGUGGUGCAUGGCUGUCGUCAGCUCGUGUCGUGAGAUGUUGGGUUAAGUCCCGCAACGAGCGCAACCCUUAUUUUUAGUUACCAAUUCGUUGGGUUCUCUAGAAAGACUGCCGGUGACAAACCGGAGGAAGGUGAGGAUGACGUCAAGUCAGCAUGCCCCUUAUGUCCUGGGCUACACACGUGCUACAAUGGGUAGGACAAAGAGUCGCAAGUUUGUAAAAACAAGCUAAUCUCGUAAACCUAUCCCAAGUUCAGAUUGUAGGCUGCAACUCGCCUGCGUGAAG
Molecule: ribosomal RNA, 836 nt
Filed under: Haptophyta environmental samples
Lineage: Eukaryota; Haptophyta
Description: bacterial SSU rRNA
Rfam family: Bacterial small subunit ribosomal RNA
Source: RNAcentral